AGAGUUUGAUUAUGGCUCAGGAUGAACGCUAGCGAUAGGCCUAACACAUGCAAGUCGAGGGGCAGCACAUGAAGUAGCAAUACGGAUGGUGGCGACCGGCGCACGGGUGAGUAACGCGUAUGCAACCUGCCUACAACAGGGGAAUAACCCGUUGAAAGACGGACUAAUACCCCAUAACACAGGGAUCCCGCAUGGGAAUAUUUGUUAAAGAUUUAUCGGUUGUAGAUGGGCAUGCGUUCCAUUAGCUUGUUGGUGAGGUAACGGCUCACCAAGGCAACGAUGGAUAGGGGAACUGAGAGGCUUAUCCCCCACACUGGUACUGAGACACGGACCAGACUCCUACGGGAGGCAGCAGUGAGGAAUAUUGGUCAAUGGACGCAAGUCUGAACCAGCCACGUCGCGUGAAGGAAGACGGCCCUACGGGUUGUAAACUUCUUUUGUAAGGGAAUAAAGUGUAGUACGUGUACUAUUUUGCAUGUACCUUACGAAUAAGGAUCGGCUAACUCCGUGCCAGCAGCCGCGGUAAUACGGAGGAUCCGAGCGUUAUCCGGAUUUAUUGGGUUUAAAGGGUGCGCAGGCGGGAGAUUAAGUCGGCGGUGAAAUUUUGCAGCUCAACUGUAAAAGUGCCUUCGAAACUGGUUUCCUUGAGUGUGGAUGAAGUAGGCGGAAUUUGUGGUGUAGCGGUGAAAUGCAUAGAUAUCACGAGGAACUCCGAUUGCGCAGGCAGCUUACUAAACCAUAACUGACGCUCAGGCACGAAGGCGUGGGGAUCAAACAGGAUUAGAUACCCUGGUAGUC
This 798-nucleotide ribosomal RNA is filed under the name uncultured Porphyromonadaceae bacterium. Its description in RNAcentral is "bacterial SSU rRNA". It matches the Rfam family "Bacterial small subunit ribosomal RNA", at positions 8 to 795 of the family's 1533-position model. Lineage: Bacteria; Pseudomonadati; Bacteroidota; Bacteroidia; Bacteroidales; Porphyromonadaceae. The record is from RNAcentral.